RNAcentral lists this ribosomal RNA (499 nucleotides) under uncultured Glomeromycotina. Its description in RNAcentral is "partial small subunit ribosomal RNA". It matches the Rfam family "Eukaryotic small subunit ribosomal RNA", at positions 591 to 1092 of the family's 1831-position model. Lineage: Eukaryota; Fungi; Glomeromycota. The record is from RNAcentral.
CCAAUAGCGUAUAUUAAAGUUGUUGCAGUUAAAAAGCUCGUAGUUGAAUUUCGGGAUCAAUAUGUCGGUCGUGCUUCGGUACGUACUGGCGUUAUUGGUUUCUCCCUUCUGAAGAACCGCGAUGUCAUUAAUUUGGUGUCGUGGGGAAUCAGGACUGUUACUUUGAAAAAAUUAGAGUGUUUAAAGCAGGCUCGCGCUUGAAUACAUUAGCAUGGAAUAAUGAAAUAGGACGUUUGAUUCUAUUUUGUUGGUUUCUAGGAUCGACGUAAUGAUUAAUAGGGAUAGUUGGGGGCAUUAGUAUUCAAUUGUCAGAGGUGAAAUUCUUUGAUUUAUUGAAGACUAACUACUGCGAAAGCAUUUGCCAAGGAUGUUUUCAUUAAUCAAGAACGAAAGUUAGGGGAUCGAAGACGAUCAGAUACCGUCGUAGUCUUAACCAUAAACUAUGCCGACUAGGGAUCGGAUGAUGUUGAUUUUUUAAUGACUCAUUCGGCGCCUUACG